This 133-nucleotide ribosomal RNA is filed under the name uncultured bacterium. Its description in RNAcentral is "partial 16S ribosomal RNA". It matches the Rfam family "Bacterial small subunit ribosomal RNA", at positions 354 to 502 of the family's 1533-position model. The record is from RNAcentral.
UGGGGGAAUAUUGGACAAUGGGCCACAAGCCUGAUCCAGCAAUUCUGUGUGCACGAUGAAGGUCUUCGGAUCGUAAGUGCUUUCAGUAGGGAAGAAAAAAUGACGGUACCUACAGAAGAAGCGACGGCUAAAU